Long non-coding RNA from Aethalodelphis obliquidens (Pacific white-sided dolphin), 1301 nucleotides. RefSeq lists it as uncharacterized. The record is from RefSeq and is a predicted model, not a curated record. NCBI's taxonomy places the organism in Eukaryota, Metazoa, Chordata, Mammalia, Artiodactyla, Delphinidae. The transcript has 2 exons.
AGGUUGAUGCACAGGUUCUUGUGGAUGGUGUUCCGGUCAGUCUGCAGUCCCCGCAGGAAGCAGAAAGUGGAGAUACAGAUGGCCAGGCAGACCAGGGAGAUGACGAUGCCCACCCAGGCGGCACGCUCACUUCCUCAUGCUCUGGAAGGCUCGUGGAGAGAUGACAAAGGUGACACCAACGUGCUUCUCCAGAGUGCCUUGGGAGAAGGUGGGACCGUGACCAAAGAGAACCAGACGUGUGGCCUCAUGCCCCGGGCAAGACUCAGGCCCCCCAUGCCCACGAAGCUGGCCUUCCCUGGCACCGCCCAUGCAGCACUUUCUAGGAUGCCAUGCAAAGCCGGGCCAGAAAGUGGGCCCGCCCGGAGGAACGGAGCGCUGGCCAGCUUACGAUCUCGCGGUGAGCCAUGAGCACGGCAAAGUUGGUGAGGUGGCUGCAGGCACACGUGGUGUGGGUCUUGUUGGACUCCACCAGGCGGCAGCCCUGCGUCGACCAGUAGCCCAGCAUGGAACGCUCCGAGUAGUUCCAGAAGGAGCAGUUGGCAUUGAAGUGGUUCUUGGCCUGUUGUGUGGUGGUGACCGGGGGGUCAGAUCCGGGGAGUCCCACUCCAGCCCACACACCCGGCUAUGGGGAUAGCGACAAGCAGGAGACGAGUGCCUGGGGCUCUGGGCUCCAGGUGACAGUCUGAGACCUCUGGGGACAAAAUGGCCCAAGCUGCUGAGGUGGGGGCUGGGGCCCCAGGGAGGGGUUGUAACUUGCUCUCGGGGUGGGUGAACACACAGUAGGGGGGCGUGCACAGCCAGGGACAAUGGAGGAUGCUGGGACCUCACGGAGGGAGGGGGCGCCUCAGCUCACCUCCAGGUGGGCCACAGUGAAGAUGACAGGGUCCAUGAGGAAAACUCGGCUGGACUCCUUGUUGAUGGACGCUGCGAUGACCUGGGAGUUCACCACCAGGGAGGCGCCCCCCAGGCCCCCCGCGCCCGCUUCACCUGCCAGCUUCACCGUGGCAUUCUCGGUGGACAGGAAGAGGCCCAGGUUGUUGUAGAGGAUGAAGACAACUUUGACCACUCCUGGGGAGAACAGGCACAGCAGGGUGUGUUGUCAGCCCCUGGCUGGUGUGCAGCUCCACCACGCUGGCCGCCAGGACCUCUGAAGCCAGGCAGGCUGCAGCCCAGGCAAGUGGGGCUCUGGGAGCCCUUCUGCGGGACCCCUGCUCAGUUAUAGGCAGCUUUCAACGGCAGGGCAGUGGGCCGGGAUACACAGGCCAGGUCCCCGGCCCACCUCUCACUUACUGUGUAACGUU